UGGUUUUCAAACAGAACGUCUUCAAGUAUACAUUCACUUAUUAUGGUGGCCUGUGUUUGCAGAGACCUCUGUGGCCAGGAGAAACGUCCAGAUGAACUUUGACCUGGUGCUCCAAAACAUCCAGCAGUAGAACAUACUGGCUGGGGAGGGAGAGUCAUUCGUCAGGGUCACGUCCAGAGGGGCACAGCUGGCCCAGCAGCACCUCCUUCCACUAAGGCUCUACAGCAAUGGCAUCCUCGUGUUCAAUGGGCCCUUCCGCUCUUACCAGGAAGCCAGCACACAGCAGUGCAUGCAAGACCUGAUGCACGGAUACUUCCCUUCUGACCUACAGGACAGGUUUGCAGAUGGAGUGCCGUUUCGGGUGUGGGUGUGCUUUGUGUGCAUGCGUGGAUUUCAAAUGUGCUUACGGUAGGAAAACGGACUACAUGGACAAUGUAUUUCGACAGGUGAGAGGAGGAGUUCCAAGCGAGGCGACCGUGGGCGGAGUUCCCUGGGAUGGGGCAGGCUGUUGUUGGAUGCACAGAGGGGGAGAAAUCAACAGACAGACUAGAACACGUGUACUGUGCCGUCUCCCAGAUACCCGGUUGGUCCCCUCUGUAUCGCUUCAAUUUGUUCCUGAAAACAUGUGCUACACUUUACACUCUAGUUGAACCAACUGCAGGGGUGGAAUCUCAAUUGUGUUUUUUGGAUUCCUCGACUCCUCUCUCCUUGUCUCCUCCUGAAGAUGCAUGAGAUGGGAAGAAACCUUGGAUCUUCUUUGAGGAGGCGAGGGGAGGGGACGCAAGGAAUCAGUGAAAUAAUUGAAUGUCAUACUUGAAGUUGGUUCAACUAUAUGCAUGUCACUUGAGAUUCACCCCAAGACUAUUUUGCUCUGACUUGAACAUUGAGUUAGCCACAGGCAGAACACUGACAUUGGACCAAUUGCUGAACAGGCUGCCCAAAGUGUUGGUGAAGGCUGGUAGAGUGAUUGACAUCAGGGACUCAGUGAAAGCCAGUCUACAGGGCUCUUCUGAUGCUCCAAACAGCCAUGCGGUGACCCUCAUAGACACACCAGUGCUACAGGCCUUGAAAGAG
Molecule: long non-coding RNA, 1074 nt
Organism: Oncorhynchus tshawytscha (Chinook salmon)
Lineage: Eukaryota; Metazoa; Chordata; Actinopteri; Salmoniformes; Salmonidae
Exons: 3
Source: RefSeq, a predicted model, not a curated record